GACGAACCGUGCGAACGUUAUUCGGAAUCACUGGGCUUAAAGCGCGUGUAGGCGGGCCGGCACGUCGGACGUUGAAAUCCCCCGGCUCAACCGGGGAAGGGGCGCCGAUACGACCGGCCUGGAGGAACGUAGGGGGAGCUGGAACUUCCGGUGGAGCGGUGAAAUGCGUUGAGAUCGGAAGGAACGCCCGUGGCGAAAGCGAGCUCCUGGACGUUUUCUGACGCUGAGACGCGAAAGCCAGGGGAGCCGAACGGG
This 255-nucleotide ribosomal RNA is filed under the name uncultured bacterium. RNAcentral's name for it is "partial 16S ribosomal RNA". It matches the Rfam family "Bacterial small subunit ribosomal RNA", at positions 524 to 776 of the family's 1533-position model. The record is from RNAcentral.